Molecule: ribosomal RNA, 254 nt
Filed under: uncultured bacterium
Lineage: Bacteria
Description: partial small subunit ribosomal RNA
Rfam family: Bacterial small subunit ribosomal RNA
Source: RNAcentral
AGGACGAACGCUGGCGGCGUGCUUAACACAUGCAAGUUGAGCGGAAAGGCCCUUCGGGGUACUCGAGCGGCGAACGGGUGAGUAACACGUGAGUAAUCUGCCCCUAGCUCUGGGAUAGCUCCGGGAAAACCGGGAUUAAUACCGGAUACGACCACCUUAGACAUCUUUUGUGGUGGAAAGAAUUUCGGCUAGGGAUGAGCUCGCGGCCUAUCAGCUUGUUGGUGGGUAACGGCCUACCAAGGCGACGACGGGUA